This 477-nucleotide ribosomal RNA is filed under the name uncultured bacterium. RNAcentral describes it as "bacterial SSU rRNA". It matches the Rfam family "Bacterial small subunit ribosomal RNA", at positions 28 to 500 of the family's 1533-position model. The record is from RNAcentral.
GAUUAACGCUAGCGGCAGGCCUAAUACAUGCAAGUCGAACGGCAGCGGGUGUAGCAAUACAUGCCGGCGAGUGGCGCACGGGUGCGUAACGCGUAUGCAAUCUACCUGUAACUGGGGAAUAGCCUUCCGAAAGGAAGAUUAAUACCGCAUAACAUCAUGAAGUGGCAUCAUUUUAUGAUCAAAACUCCGGUGGUUACAGAUGAGCAUGCGUGACAUUAGCUAGUUGGUGAGGUAACGGCUCACCAAGGCGACGAUGUCUAGGGGGUCUGAGAGGAUGAUCCCCCACACUGGUACUGAGACACGGACCAGACUCCUACGGGAGGCAGCAGUAAGGAAUAUUGGACAAUGGCCGCAAGGCUGAUCCAGCCAUGCCGCGUGCAGGAUGAAGGUGCUCUGCAUUGUAAACUGCUUUUGUUCGGGAAUAAACCCUUUCACGUGUGAGAGGUUGAAUGUACCGAAAGAAUAAGGGACGGCUAA